This 1226-nucleotide long non-coding RNA is filed under the name Rattus norvegicus (Norway rat). RNAcentral's name for it is "long non-coding RNA NONRATT031848". The record is from RNAcentral. Lineage: Eukaryota; Metazoa; Chordata; Mammalia; Rodentia; Muridae.
GUCUGGCUCAUGUGUGGGGGAAGGCUGAAACAGAGCCAAUUGGCUGCCUGUCAGUGCAUAAUCCAAACAUGGCCAAGGCCCCUUGACCAGCAAUAAACCAGCUCUGGGAAAACAGACCCUGGAGCCAAGGAUACAGCUCUUGCCUCAGUAAUGAUUAACCGGCAGCCAGGGGGCCCUGGAGGUCAGGGUGAUCAUGAGAAAGGCUCCCGUAAGCCUACCCCAAGUGCAGGGGGCCCUGAGGAAGCCAGCCUGGUGUCACUACUCGCCAGGGCUUCCCACCUCCAUGGAGGGCAUACUUCUCAACCACCCAGCAGUCCCUCGCCUCUGUCACGGGGACAGGAGCCCUGGCAUCACAGAGAGAGAGAAUGGGCCCUUGUAAAGUCCAAGAAGGAGCUUUGGAAACACAGUCACAAACUGGCCAUGACCCCAAACCUAGGCUCUGGUCACCACUGACGGCUGCCUCGCUGACACCAGACAGAGGUAAAGCUGCGAUGGGAUUGCCAAAACGGGCCUCUGCCUUCUCGGUUUUGGUAAGUUGGCUUAAACCCCAUUACCGUCUCAAGUUGACACUGAUGAAAGCUUUGUAUUCAGUUGGGCUGAGAACAGGUAACUCGGGGGACAAAACCAGCAGGUUUUACUGGUCCCAACCCAGAGAGCCAGAAGAAGCCCAGAAAUGUACAGGACUGUGUGGCAGAGAACUUGUGCCCAAAGUUGCCAAACCUCUUACCUUUGCCUGGCACUUGAGACAACCAGCUGAUAUCUGUGCAGGUACUCAGGUGGGGUGAGGGUUGUGGUAACCGUUGGAGUUUUUUGCUGAGAACUUGAGUUGGGGGGAAGACAUUUGGAAGUCGCACUACAUACGCGAUGUGAGAGUGUUGUCACUUAGAACACAUGGGGAAGGGUUUGUGGUGUGCUGGUUUCGAACUCAGGUCCCUUGUCUGAUCUAUCAGAUUCUGCCAGAAGGCUCUGGGCCACUUGCACUGGCCCCCUGCUUCCGGGUAGAAACUCCAGCCCCCUCAGCAACUGCCACUCCAGAGUUCCUCACAUUAGGGAAGGUCCCCCUCUGCGCCCUGAUCUUUGAGACUUCAGGUAAGACUUGAAUACUGCAGAAGCUGCGAAGAGGUGGUUGGGUGGCAGAGCCUUUCAAAUCUGUGUGUUUCUCUGAAUGUAGAGAUGCGUUUAUAGUAUGUAGGGGCUGUGUUUUCCCUCAGCCAGAUUUAUUCAUU